ACCAACCCAUUUGCUAAAGCUCUCAGAAUCAAAGAGUGUGAUGAUCACAAAUUGAAGAUGGAUAUACAAUACUAUACCGAUUGGCUUUAGUCCAAGUGAAAGUUAUUGAAAAAAUAUAUUCCAAAGUCAAUCAUUAGACGAUUGUACUCAUCUUGUAAAUUAUAUAAAAAUUUUUUUAAUAAAAAUUAUUUGAUAUUUUUAUUACAAAUUGGCC
RNAcentral lists this long non-coding RNA (214 nucleotides) under Elaeis guineensis (African oil palm). RNAcentral's name for it is "long non-coding RNA (EGUI_LNC075239)". Lineage: Eukaryota; Viridiplantae; Streptophyta; Magnoliopsida; Arecales; Arecaceae. The record is from RNAcentral.